Long non-coding RNA from Oxyura jamaicensis (ruddy duck), 3947 nucleotides. RefSeq lists it as uncharacterized. The transcript is spliced from 2 exons. Lineage: Eukaryota; Metazoa; Chordata; Aves; Anseriformes; Anatidae. The record is from RefSeq and is a predicted model, not a curated record.
CCUGGGUUGUGCUGAUGCUGCUGCCUUGCUGAGCCAGAGUCCCUGUUCUGCUGUGGCUAGAAAGCUGCUAAUUUCAACCUGAAAAUGGCUUCAGCACAUGUGUACCUGCAGUCUGCUGCAAGAAUGCUCUCCUGCUAUCCAGAAGGACAGGCUUGGCAAUCAGAUAAAAGAUGGUUCUCGGAGUAAGGCUUAUAGUAAUCAUUGACAAAUUCCACUCACCAUAGUGCCUAAUCUGCCAUGUGCACAUUUCUUGCAUGGGGCAUGUGGCUCAUGAUAUUUUUGGAGUAGCUACUUCCUAAGACUUGUGUAAACUUCUCCAAGAUGCUUUUCAGGAAUCUAGCAUCACACUUUUCUUUUGGGUACGCAUAAAGCAAACAUCCACUUGGGCAAGGUGGAACCCAAUGGUGAGUUGUACCUUACUCCAAAUAGCCAGAGUUUCUUGUUGGUUUUCUGGUUCUGAAGCUGAAUACCUUCUAAUGAUGAGAUUUUUCUUACUUUGAAUAUAGUACAUGAACAAAAGGAUUCAGUUGCCUAAACAUUGGUCAAUUGUGCGGAAGCUGAGUAUUGAAGAUGAUAAUGCAUUCCCCUACAGUACGCUUUUUUCUACCACUGGUUCUUUCUAACACAGUCAGACACGGAAUCAUCAAGUGGCUAAUAGAGAUUAUAUCAAUAGCACUACAUGAGGAUCUUUCAUCACACAGGAUAUUUAAACAAAGAGCCUCCAAGGGACCAACUGGGUCAAACACCACUGAAGGUCUUUGAACACAGCACUUGUGACAUAAAAACAGAAUUGUACAGCUGGUAAUGUGCUGAAUGUUGAACAGCAUGUGGCCAGGACACGACUUUUCCAGGAAUAAUACAGCUCAUGAGCCAAAGGGCUAGCUAAUAACUGAAAGUACGCACUAAAAUCAGGCUAAAAGGUCUUACCUUCAGAGAUCCUUCUCGACUUCAGAGAAUGAUACAACUAAGGCAGUUACUCUGUUUUAGGAUCAGUAUACAGAAAACUGCUUCAUAUGUUGACAACUUAGUAAGUCAUUGGUCCAAAGACCUGUAGGAUGUCACAAAGAUGAGCGUUUUGAAAGACUAACCCCCUAAACUUGUGCAGUUGUAUAUUGCAGUGGAACAGCCUUACUUCCAAAGCUUUACACCUCUUUUCAAGGAGAGAAACAUUCAUCCUGUUUUCAACAAUAUUGUGCUAUUCUAUUUGAGACCAUUAAUAAGUUAUCUUUUGGGGCUGUAGGAUUCUACAGAGAAUUCCAUGUUUGUGUUAGAUUCAGUACAAAUGCAGGAGCUUUGCAAGAUAUAAAUGUAGUUUUUGUUUGCACUGCUUUGAUAGGUAAAGAAAACUUUAAUGUUCCUAUUUGAAACAAACUCAGAGCAAAACUAAAAUUCUAUUAUUAUGCAAGACAAGUACAUAAUUAGUUUCACAGUUGGAGAAUCAAGUCAUAACUGAAUCUAUAUUUAUACAUUUCUACUUAAAUUCAGUCUAAUAUUUUUCUAGAGAAGGUGUGAAAAAGGCAAGAGGAUACAUAAUGGGGUUGAGAUCAGAUUACACUGAAAGAACAAUUUAUUCCCAGUCUGGAAAGAUAAAAAUUAUUUUGAUUUUUCUACAUAUUUUUUUUUCUAUCUGCUGUAUAGAUUAUGGUAUAAUAUUACAUCAAUUACAUCAUUAUGUUCUGUAAUGUGUAUUUAUGUAAUUAUUAUUAAUCAUACCAUAUUAUUUAGUAUAUCAAAUUGCAUUGUAAUUACUUUCUUCCUUAUACCCUGAAGAAAACAUCAGAGUGAUAUGUGACUCCCUAAAAGUGGAAUAAAUGGAGCUAGUUAUAUUUUCAGCAUAAUCGGGUAACUUCUUCCUCCUGACUUGAAAUAACUGCAAGGCCCAGCCAGAAGCCAGUGUUUACUUAAUAUUUGAGUCACUUCAGUGUAGUAGGGUAUACCACUUGGUAUCUACAGAAUAUUGCAAAAGAAAACAAUUCCAGUCUGCUUCUGUUCUUAUCUGCUACAGAAAAUGUAUGCUUGUAUUUCAUUUUUAAAUGCAGCACUUCAUAUACUCCCUCAAGCAGGUGAUAUGAACAAAGCCAACAGUUUGGAACCUACAUAAAUCAAAUGUGAACAACCUUUGUGAAGGGUGUAACCAUACGCUAUGAAAAAUAUAGUAUGUGGGUGGGAGAUAAACUGCUCUUAAGCCUCACAGUAAAAAAUUAGUUGUGGAUUUAUUUUACAGAGGAAGCACGGAAACAGUGAGUUAACUGUUGUAUACCCUGUAGUGAAUUCAGCUAGUAACACUUGAACUGUGGUUGCAGCAUGAUGCUGACUUCCCUUCUAAAAACUGUCUGUCAGAUACAUCUGCUGCAGCUGUACAUUCAUAGUCAGUUUGAUGGCCUCAUUCUGCACCCAUCCUGUAUGAGGAGGCUUUUAAUAGAAGCUGGCUAAGCUUCUAUAUAGAAGGGAUACAGAUCCAGGCAUGGAAAUAGCGGUGAUCUCUGAUAAGAAGAAUAUGCCAAUGUUAAAAUGAGGAAUUCUUUAGACUUUGCUGGGACUAGGUCCAUCUGCAAAAGUUUUGCAUCUCUCUGUUGUGAGGUCUGCACUUUUUCUUGUUCCUCAAGGCAAGGUGCUUAUAGGUGAGGGGAUGUUGCUGGCUGCUGAGCAAUGAGAGCUCAAUUUAUAGAAACUGCCAGCCUCCAGCCAGCAGUAAGUAAUUGUGGGAGUGAGAAGCAACAGGUAAAAGAGUUUCUAGCCUAGCAAAGGGGGAUCUUGGUUAGAAACUGAAGGCUUUGCUUUGAGGAGCAGGCUUUCAGAACUGGUUAUGUCUUAUCAAAUAGCUAUUGGAUUAAAAAUCAGAAAUGCUCCUGAAAUCAGAGCCCCAAACUCUGGCCUGCUUUUUUGCAAUCUUGUAGCUGGGCUGAGGGGAAGAUAAUCCCCCUGCUCCAGCCUCAUCCUCUGUACUUUGUGCAGAACUGGAGCUCAGCUGUGUGCUGUAUGCUUCUGGGUCAGGACUUGAGUGCUCUGAUUAAACUGUCCGACUUGGCAGUGCUCCUCAGCUCUGCAUCAAGAUGUGUCCCAGGAGCUUCCCAGAUCCAUGUGGAAACCUAGGUACAAGGAAAGGAGAUCUGGGCGAACAGGCUGGUGGGAGUUGCAGUGAGUGCCAGAUAUGUCUUGGCUCUAGGCUUGCUGGGGUCUGAGCUGCAGCUGUGCUCUGGGCAGCACUGCCCACACAGCUCCAAAGAGAGAGACUCGGGCUUCUGGGUUAGCUUUGAGCAGUCAUGAAACAACUUGCAUCUUGGGCUCAGGCCCUUUUGAAAGGGGCAAAAAAGACAUUUCAAGAAAGGAGAGGCUUUUGGGUGUUUGGUUCUUUCUAAGGAUGAAGCCUUCAACUGUCAUGAUCCUGUUUUCAUAUGAGAGAACUGGAAGCAGUUCAGUUUUGUUCUUUAGGUAAUGCAUUUUGUGGACUGCUUAGGUCUGUGUGUUGAUAAGUAACAUACUGGGAUGCAAAUAUUUUACAUGAACGUGCAUGUAAAAAGAAGCGUCAUUAAAAGGGAAGGCUCAAGAAACUAGAGAUGAAACAUCAAUCCUUUUUUAUCAAAUGACAAUUAAUUUCCCUUCUAGAACUUGGAUUUAACUGAUUAUAAAUGCAUUUUACUCUAAGGACUAAUUUAGCAACUGGGUCAGUGGCUACAAUACCAACCUCAUCAGUUAUGUGAUGGAUAAAGGCAUCUGACACUACCUUCUCUCUUUGAAAGGUUUCCAGCAGAUUCUUCUGUCACGUUGUGACUGCGUUCGAUCUGUAGCUUUCAAAAACAAUAAAACAUGUAAUGACUUUGUUCUUGAUAAAUAUGCAGCAUUACCAACUACAGAAAAGUCUUCCCUGAAGCGUAAUACUCUCAUUUAUUGUUAUUCAGAGUAAUAGUAUUUCCUCAUAAUAAUUUAUUAAAGUUGGUGUAAAUGAA